UACGGGGCGCAGCAGACGCGAAACCUUCGCAAUACGCGAAAGCGUGACGAGGUUAAUCCGAGUGACUCCCGCUGAGGGGGUCUUUUGUCAGCUGUAAAUAGGCAGGCGAAUAAGGGGAGGGCAAGCCUGGUGUCAGCCGCCGCGGUGAUACCAGCUCCUCGAGUGGUCGGGGCGAUUAUUGGGCCUAAAGCAUCCGUAGCCGGUUCCGUAGGUCCUCUGUUAAAUCCAACCGCUCAACGGUUGACCUGCAGAGGAUACCGCGGGACUAGGAGGCGGGAGAGGCGGACGGUACUCCGCGUGUAGGGGUAAAAUCCUUUGAUCCGCGGGAGACCACCAGUGGCGAAGGCGGUCCGCCAGGACGCGCUCGACGGUGAGGGACGAAAGCAGGGGGAGCGGACCGGAUUAGACACCCGGG
This 415-nucleotide ribosomal RNA is filed under the name uncultured archaeon. RNAcentral describes it as "bacterial SSU rRNA". It matches the Rfam family "Archaeal small subunit ribosomal RNA", at positions 324 to 741 of the family's 1478-position model. The record is from RNAcentral.